GAUAGAUAGAUAGAUAGAUAGAUUGAUACUUUAUUGAUCCCUAAGAGGGAAAUGUUGGUAUCACAGCAGCAUAUACAGGGAAGAAAAUAUUAUUAAAAGAUACACAUUAUAUACAAUAUUAUAAGAUAAAAAAGAUUAAAUUAUUGAAUAAAAUAAACUAAAACAAAAUAAGAAGAAGCCUUAUUAUAAUAAUAAUAAUAAUAAUAAGAAGCCAUAUUAUAAGAAGAAGAAGAAGAAGAAGAAGACGCUGUGUUAGAAGAAGGAAAAGAAGAAGAAGCCGUAUUAGAAGAAGAAGAAGAAGAAGAAGCCGUAUUUUAAGAAGGAGAAGAAGAAGCCAUUUUCCCUUUAUUAGUGCUCUUUGUAAUUGGAUGAAAUGAAACCAUUGCAAGUUAUCUCCCCACACUCUGUGAUAAUAACCAUCAGAAACCCAGUUUAAGUUAACUACACAGGAGACAAAUAAGCUUACCUCGAGUACUGCAUUUGUGGCGGUAGAGAAGGCGUAGAUACAGUGUAAAGCACGCAGAAGUACUCGUAGUACUCGUGUUUUCUUUUUCUAAAGCAGCAGCGGGAUUCGUCUGGAGUCGGGUUACCUCACGUCUGCACGUCUAGUUUUGCUGUCAGAUUCUAUAACAGCAUUAUUCUUGUGCUGCACAGCGCCGCAUAUAGCGCAAGCUUUUCCUCCAUCACAAAAUUGCCGGUGCAUUCUGCGCGGCCCUGCUGAUGGAUGGCCACUUACAAGCAUCACUAUAUACUCUCCUCUCCCGCUCCGCUUCUCAAUCCUUUCAUGCGUGGAGAGGUUUGAUCUAAUAGUCCGUAGAGCCAAUCAAGUAUUUCUUCACUUGGGGGGGCCACGGAUUUACGUUGGGGCUAAUGCAGCCAGCGCCCCGCUGCUUCCUGAAUGGUAUAACGCUCUCUUGAAGGAUUUCUAUGAAAUCAGCCAUGGUAACGGCCAGCGGGGAUUCUAAAACAAGGCGACCGGAGACAAAUAUGUGGUUUGAAUGAACCACUACCACACUGCAGUGGAGGCUUUAGUAGAAAUGCCUCUUGCCAUUAGAAAGCUGUUUUCAUCCUGGUGCAGUUUCAGAAAUGACAAUAUCCUUAUUG
Molecule: long non-coding RNA, 1104 nt
Organism: Gasterosteus aculeatus aculeatus (three-spined stickleback)
Lineage: Eukaryota; Metazoa; Chordata; Actinopteri; Perciformes; Gasterosteidae
Source: Ensembl